RNAcentral lists this ribosomal RNA (465 nucleotides) under uncultured bacterium. RNAcentral describes it as "partial 16S ribosomal RNA". It matches the Rfam family "Bacterial small subunit ribosomal RNA", at positions 338 to 795 of the family's 1533-position model. The record is from RNAcentral.
CCUACGGGUGGCAGCAGUGGGGAAUAUUGCGCAAUGGGCGAAAGCCUGACGCAGCGACGCCGCGUGAGGGAUGAAGGUCUUCGGAUCGUAAACCUCUGUCAGCAGGGAAGAACGGUCACUGUGCUAAUCAGCAGUGAAUUGACGGUACCUGCAAAGGAAGCACCGGCUAACUCCGUGCCAGCAGCCGCGGUAAUACGGAGGGUGCGAGCGUUAAUCGGAAUUACUGGGCGUAAAGCGCUCGUAGGCGGUAUGUCAAGUCAAGGGUGAAAUCCCCGCGCUCAACGUGGGAACUGCCUUUGAAACUGGCAAACUGGAGUGUGUGAGAGGAUAGUGGAAUUCCAGGUGUAGGGGUGAAAUGCGGAGAUAUCUGGAGGAACAUCAGUGGCGAAGGCGACUAUCUGGCACAUAACUGACGCUGAGGAGCGAAAGCGUGGGUAGCAAACAGGAUUAGAUACCCGUGUAGUC